GGAAUCUACAAGUCGAGGAUGGAGGAAGGGAGAGAGGCCACUCACUUAUUUAACAAACCCGCAGAGCUGGAGCCUCAGUGCUGACAGGCCAGUGUAGCCCCUGUGCUUGGGGAGGGGGAGACCAGGGACACAGUCACUCACCCCAAGCGUCAGGACUGGAAGGGGGAGAGCGGACUUGCUGAGGAGAAGACCUUGAGGCCGGGUUUUGUAGGGUGCGUAGGAGUUGGAGUCAGGGGGUCAUCUUAGACACGAUGGGGGGAGAAUGACUCCCCUCCCCAGACCAGGGCGGUGGAGGGGCGGUGUUUGUUCCUGAGCCCGGCUGGCAGACGGCGCGUGUACCCCAAGCUCUCAAUCCCGACUGCCUAGAAUCAAGCCGGGCUUUGAUCCAGAUUCUCCAAUCCAUUUGUUCAUUGGUGUUCUCCGGCUGGUUCUCACAACCUCUCUGUGCCACAUUGCCCUCAUCCGUGAGAAGAGGAGGCUUGCGAGGAGAAAAUGAGAGAAUUCACGGAAAGCACAGUGCUCACCAGACGGGAGCUGCUGUCCUUGUGAGCCCAUUCAGGGUCCAGAAGGUUGGAGUGGAAGGGGUCAGAGAGAGGCGAGGCAGCCAGAGGAAAUAGAAACGAUGUUGACAGAAGCUGUCGCUGGAAGGGAAGCUGCCCGCAAAACCCACAUCAGGUGGUUCUACACCCUUGCCACAGGGGUCUCCUCUCGACUUGUCGUGAUGGAUCUUUUUUCCUGGAAGUUUUCACUCAGUCCCCUUCGCUCCCACCAGACCGUGAGCUCCGGGGUCGGCCCAGUGGUCCCAGCACCCAGCCUGGCGCAUAGGAGGGACGUAGUAACUGGGUGAACGGAUGGAUGGAUGGACGGAUGGAUGGACGGACGGACCUCCCUACCUUUCUUCUUCUUGUCGCCAGGAGAGAAAGGAAGGAAAUUUCAAACAACUCUGAGCCGUAGCUCAGCCUGGAGCUGCGGCAACCCCAGCCUCCCUGGCGGGGAGCAUCGACCCAUGGCGGGCGGGCGGGUGCGGCUGCUUUGUGGAGGUGGAGGGCGCUGGGGGACCUGCGCCAACCUGCUUCACGGCGUCCAGACCCCCCUCCACCUCCACCCCGCUCCCGGCAGCUCUGCAGAGCCCGGGUGUCAGCAGCCAGUGGGGGGCUGCGCAGGGAAGGGGUUGGGGGGGGUGGAGCUGUGCAGCCUCUGCAGCAGCCGGCACGGAGAGGCCCUCUUGACGCACAAAAGCAGGAAAGGCACAUUAAGCCCAUUAUCAAUAUUUUGCCUGGAAAAAAUACAAAAAGCAUUUUCGCCUCUGAAAAAUUAAUAACCUGGAAGGGGGGGAGGCUGGGGGUGAUGUCUGGCAAGUGGGGGGCGGGGGAGGCUCCUCUGCCCCCAGUGGGUGCCUGGGUCCCUCUGAGAAAGCCGCCCCAGCCCACCUGACUCGCUUCGCGCCUCCGCUCCUCCUCCAGGCCGAGCCCCCAGCAGGCCUCCAGCUGCAGGCCUGGCCCCCCAGUCUACCUCCAUCCUCUCCUCUGGAGGGGGCAUCCUCCCCAGCUGAGCCCCUCCCAGCUCCCCCAAAUGGGCCAUGUCCUUCUACACCCUGCCUGUGCUUCUGCUGUUCCCUUGUCCCUCUGCUCUCCCUAGGAAACUCCUACUUUACCUGCAAAGCCCAGCUCCAAUGGCCCCUCCUCUAUACAAUUUUCCCUCCCCCUGAGACAGAACCCCCACUACCCUUCCCUGACCUCCCACCCCAGCA
This is a long non-coding RNA of Equus caballus (horse), 1750 nucleotides long. Lineage: Eukaryota; Metazoa; Chordata; Mammalia; Perissodactyla; Equidae. The record is from Ensembl.